Molecule: unclassified non-coding RNA, 208 nt
Filed under: soil metagenome
Description: partial contains 5.8S ribosomal RNA, internal transcribed spacer 2, and large subunit ribosomal RNA
Source: RNAcentral
AACCAUUCUCACCUGCGGCUAGACCUGCGGAGGGAUCAUUACCGAGUUUACAACUCCCAAACCCCUGUGAACAUACCACUUGUUGCCUCGGCGGAUCAGCCCGCUCCCGGUAAAACGGGACGGCCCGCCGGAGGACCCCUAAACUCUGUUUCUAUAUGUAACUUCUGAGUAAAACCAUAAAUAAAUCAAAACUUUUAACAAUGGAUCU